GAUGAAGAACGCAGCGAAAUGCGAUAAGUAAUGUGAAUUGCAGAAUUCAGUGAAUCAUCGAAUCUUUGAACGCACCUUGCGUCUUUUGGUAUUCCGAAAGGCAUGCCUGUUUGAGUGUCAUGAAAUCUCAAUCCUCCUAGGUUUUUGACCUGGUUGGACUUGGACAUGGGCGUCUGCCAGCAAUGGCUCGCCUUAAAUGACUUAGUGGAACAUCCCACAUCAGUGUUAGACGUAAUAAGUUUCGUCUCUCCUUGUGGUGACGACUGCUCAUAAUCUGCCAUCGCGCACUUUUGACUUUGACCUCAAAUCAGGUAGGGCUACCCGCUGAACUUAAGCAUAUCAAUAAGCGGAGGA
This 354-nucleotide unclassified non-coding RNA is filed under the name soil metagenome. Its description in RNAcentral is "partial contains 5.8S ribosomal RNA, internal transcribed spacer 2, and large subunit ribosomal RNA". The stretch from base 1 to 120 matches the Rfam family "5.8S ribosomal RNA", at positions 35 to 154 of the family's 154-position model. The record is from RNAcentral.